Molecule: ribosomal RNA, 735 nt
Filed under: uncultured Fusobacterium sp.
Lineage: Bacteria; Fusobacteriati; Fusobacteriota; Fusobacteriia; Fusobacteriales; Fusobacteriaceae
Description: bacterial SSU rRNA
Rfam family: Bacterial small subunit ribosomal RNA
Source: RNAcentral
GAUGAACGCUGACAGAAUGCUUAACACAUGCAAGUCUACUUGAAUUUGGGUUUUUAACUUAGAUUUGGGUGGCGGACGGGUGAGUAACGCGUAAAGAACUUGCCUCACAGCUAGGGACAACAUUUAGAAAUGAAUGCUAAUACCUAAUAUUAUGAUAAUAGGGCAUCCUAUAAUUAUGAAAGCUAUAUGCACUGUGAGAGAGCUUUGCGUCCCAUUAGCUAGUUGGAGAGGUAACGGCUCACCAAGGCGAUGAUGGGUAGCCGGCCUGAGAGGGUGAUCGGCCACAAGGGGACUGAGACACGGCCCUUACUCCUACGGGAGGCAGCAGUGGGGAAUAUUGGACAAUGGACCAAGAGUCUGAUCCAGCAAUUCUGUGUGCACGAUGAAGUUUUUCGGAAUGUAAAGUGCUUUCAGUUGGGAAGAAAAAAAUGACGGUACCAACAGAAGAAGUGACGGCUAAAUACGUGCCAGCAGCCGCGGUAAUACGUAUGUCACAAGCGUUAUCCGGAUUUAUUGGGCGUAAAGCGCGUCUAGGUGGUUAUGUAAGUCUGAUGUGAAAAUGCAGGGCUCAACUCUGUAUUGCGUUGGAAACUGUGUAACUAGAGUACUGGAGAGGUAAGCGGAACUACAAGUGUAGAGGUGAAAUUCGUAGAUAUUUGUAGGAAUGCCGAUGGGGAAGCCAGCUUACUGGACAGAUACUGACGCUGAAGCGCGAAAGCGUGGGUAGCAAACAGG